GCUAAAGCGGGAACAUUGCCUUUAAAUUUCAAUCAGGCUGUACAGCUGAACUUCUAUGAUGCGGAUUGAAUAGAGCCAUAAGUGCUUUUCCACAUGGAAUUUGCGCUGUUCUUUAUCCAUGCAUGGGCACCAAGCAGACUAAGACUAAAUAGGUUUGAUAUUGACCCAAAGUAAAGUGAUCUUGGUAUUUCUCCGCCUCAAUGCUGCUGCAGCACUUAGUGCAAAUAUAGCCAUCAAUUAACGUAACCACUGAUUGUCUGGUAGUGGUCUCUAAGAAAACAAUGAUUUAUGGGUGGGUUUAAAACAAAUAAAAAUGUCAGAUGCCAUUUAUAUAGAUGGAUGACCUAUUGUGCCACCCAAUACUUCUUGUUGAAGAAGCCCUUUCAUUCUCUAGGGUACAUGGAAAAUGUGCAAAUUAAAAGCUAGGGUCGACCUCUGCCCGAUAUCAGCUUAAUGAGGAAGGAUGAAAACGUGAGGGCGUUCAAUACCAACUGGUAUCAAAAGUGUAGUUGGUUAACCAAGCCGCCUGUAUUGCUGGCCUUUCCUGCUUUUUGGAAAGUCUGCGCCUUGGUCGAAAGGUGGGUACAGUGACCUGAAGAACAUCGAUCAUUCAGCUAAACUGCAAAAGAAAUGUAGGGUGCAUAUAAAUGCCCACAUCAGAUUCAAGUUUCUGGGAAAAAGCUGCUUCGAUCAUGACGAAGGUCUGCGUUUUCAAACUGCUACCAAGCUGCUUAUCAACACCACGGCGUUUUUGGGCAUGCAAUCAUUUGCUUUUAGAGGACAUGACGAGAGGAAAAGCACUGACAACAAGGGCAAUUACAAGGAGCUUGCAGAGGAUCCAGUGUUUUCCUAGUUAGGUUAACAUAUAAGGAAUAACUCCAGGGCCCAUGGUGUAAAAAUUGCCCCACCGCUCUGGGACCUAUGGUGCCACCAGUCUGCUUGCAGAUGUCAGUUAUCGUCAGCUAACUCCCCUCCUGUUCCCUGAUUUAAGAGUCAAAUCCUGUCCGGCACUUGUCAAGCCUCUGAACACCUCAGCUCAUGCCUCAGCUCAUGCCCCAUACCCUCAUUCAAUCACUGCUGUGAUCCCUUUCCACCACUGUUGCAUUCUGAGCCUAUACCGUGGGUCGCCCAUCCUCCUCAAUUAUUCAAGUCACCAGUCUCCAAUGGUCUUCACU
Molecule: long non-coding RNA, 1175 nt
Organism: Oncorhynchus tshawytscha (Chinook salmon)
Lineage: Eukaryota; Metazoa; Chordata; Actinopteri; Salmoniformes; Salmonidae
Exons: 5
Source: RefSeq, a predicted model, not a curated record